GACGAACGCUGGCGGCGUGCUUAACACAUGCAAGUCGAACGGUAAGGCCCUUCGGGGUACACGAGUGGCGAACGGGUGAGUAACACGUGGGUGAUCUGCCCUGCACUUCGGGAUAAGCCUGGGAAACUGGGUCUCAUACCGGAUAGGCCCAUGCGCUUCACGGUGUGUGGUGGAAAGCUUUUGCGGUGUGGGAUGGGCCCGCGGCCUAUCAGCUUGUUGGUGGGGUAAUGGCCUACCAAGGCGACGACGGGUAGCCGGCCUGAGAGGGUGGCCGGCCACACUGGGACUGAGAUACGGCCCAGACUCCUACGGGAGGCAGCAGUGGGGAAUAUUGCACAAUGGGCGCAAGCCUGAUGCAGCGACGCCGCGUGAGGGAUGACGGCCUUCGGGUUGUAAACCUCUUCCAGUAGGGACGAAGCGCAAGUGACGGUACCUACAGAAGAAGGACCGGCCAACUACGUGCCAGCCGCCGCUGUAA
Molecule: ribosomal RNA, 478 nt
Filed under: uncultured bacterium
Lineage: Bacteria
Description: partial 16S ribosomal RNA
Rfam family: Bacterial small subunit ribosomal RNA
Source: RNAcentral